Molecule: transfer RNA, 67 nt
Filed under: Marmota monax (woodchuck)
Lineage: Eukaryota; Metazoa; Chordata; Mammalia; Rodentia; Sciuridae
Description: tRNA.Ala
Source: RNAcentral
GGGAAUAGCUCAGUGCUAAAGCCCUUUUCUAGCAUGCAAGAGGUCCUGGGUUUGAUCCUCAGCCCCA